CAGAGGAAGAAGCAGACUCCCCACAGAGCAGGAAGCCUGACCGGACACAGGGUUCAAUCCAGGACCCUGGGAUCAUGACCUGAGCCCAAGGCAGACGUUUAACUGACUGAGCCACCCAGGUGCCCCUAAGGGCAUAAAAUCUUAAAAAGAAGUCUUCUACUGACUGCCUCCUUGAAAAAGCCAAGUUACAGCUAUUUUCAAGUUCAGUGGUCAAAAACUUUUGAAGUAAACCCAGGGAAAAUACUCUGAUUGAUCUUGGCAUUUUCCGGCAGAUCCACUUUCUGGGUCCCACCUGGUUCUAUAUCAUUAUUAUCUGGCUGACUUUUCAUCCUCACCAGACUGUGAGCAAGUCAAAGAAGAAGACCAAGCCCUGCACUGCACACCUGUUAGAGCACCACUACGCUCCCUGCUGGCUUGAACACAGAGCUUUCAUCUGAGUCAACAGCUUAUGCAUCUUUAUAGCCCUGAGUUCCUAACAGUGCUGUAGUUAUUUUUGUUGGAUUAUGAAUAUGUAAUGUAAUAAUCAUAUUUCACAUAUACCAUAACUUGUCUAGCUCAACCAUUUCCUAAUUCUCUAUUCCACAGUUUUGAAAGUGGCUUUGUAACAUAGAAAAUUGGCAUUGUUUUCCUUUGUAGUUUAAAUAAAAUGCUGACCUCCU
Long non-coding RNA from Zalophus californianus (California sea lion), 659 nucleotides. Ensembl lists it as uncharacterized. NCBI's taxonomy places the organism in Eukaryota, Metazoa, Chordata, Mammalia, Carnivora, Otariidae. The record is from Ensembl.